AUACAGAGGGUGCAAGCGUUAAUCGGAAUUACUGGGCGUAAAGCGCGCGUAGGCGGCUUGGUCAGUCAGAUGUGAAAUCCCCGGGCUCAACCUGGGAACUGCAUUUGAUACUGCUGAGCUAGAAUGUGGUAGAGGGAAGGGGAAUUCCAGGUGUAGCGGUGAAAUGCGUAGAUAUCUGGAGGAACAUCAGUGGCGAAGGCGCCUUCCUGGACCAACAUUGACGCUGAGGUGCGAAAGCGUGGGUAGCAAACAGGAUUAGAAACCCUAGUAGUCC
Molecule: ribosomal RNA, 274 nt
Filed under: uncultured bacterium
Lineage: Bacteria
Description: partial 16S ribosomal RNA
Rfam family: Bacterial small subunit ribosomal RNA
Source: RNAcentral